Molecule: microRNA precursor, 129 nt
Filed under: Nicotiana sylvestris (wood tobacco)
Lineage: Eukaryota; Viridiplantae; Streptophyta; Magnoliopsida; Solanales; Solanaceae
Description: MIR6152 microRNA precursor family
Rfam family: MIR6152 microRNA precursor family
Source: Rfam by way of RNAcentral
UAGACAAAUUAUUGUAUUCGACUGGAUUCACGAUAUGUAUUUGUGAAUACAGUAACGUAAAUAGCGCAAUUCAUGGUCUAUUCAUAUGUUUUUAAAUGGAAAGUGAAUCAAUUAACAUAAUAGACUCAU